GUUCGUAUCUUCUCGUCUAUACAGAAUCCCUGCAUCCUCUGCACCUGUGUGGAAAAUCUACAGCUGCUCUUCGAGUGACGUGACCUAGAUUUUAAAACAAAAACUGCCCAGGAGGCUUUCAGCUGUAGCCUUACAUUUUCACUGGAACUGAACUUUCCAAAAUCUCUUGGCAGAGGGCAGCUUAUUUAGAGAACCUGACUGGCCAGUAGUAGAAGACAGCAUCCAUAGCAGCGGUGUUUCUCUGUGCGAAGAUGUUAGAAUUGGCCUGAUUUCCCUAAGUGUGAGGCAGUGACAGAUAGUCUUCUCCAUUGGGAACAGAGGUUGUGCAGCAUUUCUGAGAACCAAGCCACUUGCUGCUACUUCUGCACUCCUGAAAUUAACUUCUUAAGGCAUUCAGAACUAUAAAAAGUGAUUUAUAUCAUUCUCUGAUAUUGUGAAUUAUUUGCAAAACCUUUGUAUUUUCGGGAAAAAUAGAGCCAUUCUUAUGACAUCAUUAAAGAGCAACAGACCUAAAACUAAACAAAACAAAAAAUCACACUUGGGUAAGCUAUCAUGCAUCAUUUUGGGGUUUAAAUCUUUCUUCUUUGCAUUUUAUUAGGAUUUGCACUGCUUUUUCUGUUCUUUUCUGUUCAAAGGAGAUAGUGCUGAUAAAGAAAUAGCUCUCUUUUCCUGCUUGGUAUGAACUCUAGCCUUUAAGUUGAUAAACUACAUAACAUACACGUGUAUGCAUGCACAUAAAUAAGUUUUUAGAAAGAGAGAGAGGUGAAUGCUGUGAGAACCACCUCAACAACUUUAUGAACUUCAGUGCUGACUGCUCCGAAGAGUUAUGAUCCUUCUGUUUAAUGAUGGGAGUGACAGAGCAGGGCAUGUUCUUCAACAUCCUCACCUCGUCCAGCUCCACAGAUGAAGACCAACGUGAGUUGAUAAAGCCAGCUGCUAAUUUGGUUGAAACAUCUUUUCCCUUCAUUUCUUGUGAAUGAAACAGGUG
Molecule: long non-coding RNA, 988 nt
Filed under: Anas platyrhynchos platyrhynchos (common mallard)
Lineage: Eukaryota; Metazoa; Chordata; Aves; Anseriformes; Anatidae
Description: lncRNA (ENSAPLG00000019527.1)
Source: RNAcentral